CUACGGGCUGCUCCAGUCGAGAAUAGUCUACAAUGGACGAAAGUCUGAUAGUGCGACGCCGCGUGGAUGAAGAAGCAUUUCGGUGUGUAAAGUCCUUUUCUGUGUGAGCAAUGUUUUCCAGGUUAAUAGCUUGGAGAAAGCGAUAUUAACACAGGAAUAAGCUCCGGCUAACUCCGUGCCAGCAGCCGCGGGAACACGGGGGGAGCAAGCGUUGUCCGGAAUUACUAGGCGUAAAGGGUAAGUAGGCGGAAUUGUAAGUCAGAUGUUAAAGGCACCGGCUCAACCGGUGUAUGGCAUUUGAUACUGUAAUUCUAGAGUAAGGUGGGGGAAGACGGAAUUCCUGGUGUAGCGGUGGAAUGCGCAGAUAUCAGGAGGAACACCAGAGGCGCAGGCGGUCUUCUAUACCAUUACUGACGCUCAAUUACGAAGGUGUGGGUAUCAAACAGGAUUAGAUACCCGUGUAGUC
This 466-nucleotide ribosomal RNA is filed under the name uncultured bacterium. Its description in RNAcentral is "partial 16S ribosomal RNA". It matches the Rfam family "Bacterial small subunit ribosomal RNA", at positions 339 to 795 of the family's 1533-position model. The record is from RNAcentral.